This 484-nucleotide ribosomal RNA is filed under the name uncultured bacterium. Its description in RNAcentral is "bacterial SSU rRNA". It matches the Rfam family "Bacterial small subunit ribosomal RNA", at positions 30 to 507 of the family's 1533-position model. RNAcentral also lists the same sequence under 1 other name. The record is from RNAcentral.
AUUGAACGCUGGCGGCAUGCCUUACACAUGCAAGUCGAACGGCAGCGCGGACUUCGGUCUGGCGGCGAGUGGCGAACGGGUGAGUAAUGUAUCGGAACGUACCAUUCAGUGGGGGAUAACGCAGCGAAAGUUGCGCUAAUACCGCAUAUUCUGUGCGCAGGAAAGCAGGGGAUCGCAAGACCUUGCGCUGAUUGAGCGGCCGAUAUCAGAUUAGCUAGUUGGUGAGGUAAAGGCUCACCAAGGCGACGAUCUGUAGCGGGUCUGAGAGGAUGAUCCGCCACACUGGAACUGAGACACGGUCCAGACUCCUACGGGAGGCAGCAGUGGGGAAUUUUGGACAAUGGGCGCAAGCCUGAUCCAGCCAUGCCGCGUGAGUGAAGAAGGCCUUCGGGUUGUAAAGCUCUUUCGGCCGGGAAGAAAUCGUAUGGGUUAAUACCCUGUGCGGAUGACGGUACCGGCAUAAGAAGCACCGGCUAACUACGUG